GAUGAACGCUGGCGGCGUGCCUAAUACAUGCAAGUCGAGCGAACAGACGAGGAGCUUGCUCCUCUGACUUUAGCGGCGGACGGGUGAGUAACACGUGGAUAACCUACCUAUAAGACUGGGAUAACUUCGGGAAACCGGAGCUAAUACCGGAUAAUAUAUUGAACCGCAUGGUUCAUUAGUGAAAGAUGGUUUUGCUGUCACUUAUAGAUGGAUCCGCGCUGCAUUAGCUAGUUGGUAAGGUAACGGCUUACCAAGGCAACGAUGCGUAGCCGACCUGAGAGGGGGAUAGGCGACACGGGAGCUGAGACACGGUCCAGACGCCUACGAGAGGCAGCAGUAGGGAAUGGGACGCAGUGGGCGAAAGCAUGACGGAGCAACGGAGCGUGAGUGAUGAAGGUCUUCGGAGAGUAAAACUCUGUUAUGAGGGAAGAACAAAUGUGUAAGUAACAAUGCACGAAGUGACGGUACCUAAACAGAAAGCCACGGCUAACUACGUG
This 497-nucleotide ribosomal RNA is filed under the name uncultured bacterium. RNAcentral's name for it is "partial 16S ribosomal RNA". It matches the Rfam family "Bacterial small subunit ribosomal RNA", at positions 28 to 507 of the family's 1533-position model. The record is from RNAcentral.